GAGAAUGCAAUACACUUACUUCAGUAGGUUUUCACUCUAAGUGUUGAAUGAAUUGAUGCUUGUUGGUUCAGUGCUGGCCUCCCAAUGCUUGCGGCCUCCACUCUGGACAUUCCUCCGGGAAGAUUUCUGAACUUGAAGUGAGAGCAGCACCAUCGGAGAUUGUAUUUAAAAGGGUUUGUGUCUCCAUCCUACGAUGCUUCUUAUAAUUGACGUGGGAUGGGAGGAAACAGUAAUUUCUUUGAGUAACCCCCACCCCCAAUCCCAGUGUAUCAUGUGGCUGAGGUAAGACACCACUUUGGCCAAUCAGAGCAACCAAUCUCCCCUCCCUAGCGACUGGGAUCUGGAUGGCCAGCGAAAAUCCCUGGACUCUCACGAAAGUGACCGGAGAAAGAUGUUCCCCUUACGCUGGAUUGAACCUGGCGGGCAGCCACCUUGUCACCCCCUGGAACCCAAGAACAAACCACCAUGGAGCAGAGAGAAGAGGACAGCUGUGUCACCCGAGGCACUAGAUCCGUCUAAGCUUAAAGCCUUGAGCCCCUCAGUUACACAAAAGAAUACCAUCCUUUAAAAAACUGUUA
Panthera uncia (snow leopard) is the source of this 578-nucleotide long non-coding RNA. RefSeq lists it as uncharacterized. The record is from RefSeq and is a predicted model, not a curated record. Lineage: Eukaryota; Metazoa; Chordata; Mammalia; Carnivora; Felidae. The transcript has 3 exons.